Molecule: ribosomal RNA, 532 nt
Filed under: uncultured bacterium
Lineage: Bacteria
Description: bacterial SSU rRNA
Rfam family: Bacterial small subunit ribosomal RNA
Source: RNAcentral
AGAGUUUGAUCAUGGCUCAGGACGAACGCUGGCGGCGCGCUUAACACAUGCAAGUCGAGCGAUAACCAUGGCUUCGGCCAUGGGGAGAGCGGCGAACGGGUGAGUAACACGUGAGCGAUCUGCCCUCGACACUGGGAUAGCCCGGGGAAACCCGGAUUAAUACCGGAUGGCCUCUCGAGCCCACGGGCUCGAUAGAAAAGGUGGCUUCGGCUUUCGGUCGAGGAGGAGCUUGCGGCGGAUUAGCUUGUUGGUGAGGUAACGGCUCACCAAGGCGACGAUCCGUAGCUGGUCUGAGAGGACGAUCAGUCACACUGGAACUGAGACACGGUCCAGACUCCUACGGGAGGCAGCAGUGGGGAAUAUUGGACAAUGGGCGAAAGCCUGAUCCAGCCAUGCCGCGUGUGUGAAGAAGGUCUUCGGAUUGUAAAGCACUUUAAGUUGGGAGGAAGGGUUGUAGAUUAAUACUCUGCAAUUUUGACGUUACCGACAGAAUAAGCACCGGCUAACUCUGUGCCAGCAGCCGCGGUAAUAC